Vespula vulgaris is the source of this 2405-nucleotide long non-coding RNA. RefSeq lists it as uncharacterized. Lineage: Eukaryota; Metazoa; Arthropoda; Insecta; Hymenoptera; Vespidae. The transcript has 2 exons. The record is from RefSeq and is a predicted model, not a curated record.
UUUACUUUGUUAUACUCGUCAUAUAUCUCGUCUAUCGAGAAGAAAAAUAGUUUCUUUCUUUCUUUCUUUCUUUUUCUUUUUUUGAUAAAUAGAAUAAUGCCGAUAUAAUCCGACCAAACGAUAUAUUACGAAUUUUAUUGCGUUCUUCGUCAAAAUGAUUCUCUAACGACGCAAUCAUAUCGCCCGCCUUUUUUUCUUCCGUCAUAUUGUUUUCUCGUCGUUCUUUUCUUUCUCGUACACGUAUAUGCGUAUGUAUAAUAUAUGUUUUUCUAUAUUUCUAAGUCCUACGACGAUUUAUUUAGGUUAAACUUUUUCUUUUGAUUUCAAACAGCUUUUUUCUUACCACGAGGGUAAUAUUUACGUUUAGAUUUUAAGAUGCUUUUUUUUCCCGAUAUAAACGAACGUUACAGGACACGUAAUCGUCUUUAUAACUUUUUUUUUCUCUUAUAGGUUAUAUCAAUAAUUUAAUUAGUUUCUUUGUAAGCUGUAUUCGUUAUGACUAAGCUUUAUUUAUCUUUAAUCCGAACAUAACGUCUUACAUAUGUAUAUGAUAAUAAAUUGAAUAGGAUUAGUAAGUAUAUUAAUCGAACGUCGUUAAUUUUAUAACGAUGUUUUUGAUUGGUCGUCGCGUAAAGGUAUCUAAUGAAAAUAUCCAAUCGUAGAACUGGUUCAUUAUCUCAAACGAGUAGUACACAGAUACUUUUAACUUCGUCUAGUUAACUGGAUCAUCGAUUUAAAUAAUACAUGUUAUCGAUAUUUAAUUGUUUAUUUUCCUAUUUGCAUAGCUUUCACGUAACGUAUAUGCAUAUGUACAUAUAUACAUUUUACUAUAUGUAUAUAUAUAUACAUACGUACGUAUGUACGUACGUAUGUAUGUAUAUAGGUAUAGUAAAUUUGUACACAUAUGGUGUAUAUAAACGUAAUACAUAAUUUGUAAACAACGUUAAAUAGAUAGAAACUAUCCUUUGAUAUUUUCCCUUGGUGAAAGGAUAGUACGUACAAAUCGAUAGAAUCACUCUGAUCAAUUACACAUUGAAUUUUCUUUUGCUCAUAAUUUGUUCGUAAUUAACAAAUAUAUUCGUAAUUAUAUCUAUUUGCAAUGGACAUUAGAUAUUUAAAAUUAUUGAGAAAAUAUUUACACACACAGACGCACACUGUGUGAGGUUUAUAUUUGAAAGAAAUUUGAUAUAAAGUUUUCUUAUUUACAUAACCUUAUCUUCUUUUUUCUUUUUUAUCAGCAUAAUAUCACAAAGAAAUAACUAUAACAAUACGAAAUCGUUUUAAUAAUAAUUAAUAAUUAAUUUAUUACGAUAUAGGAAACUGCACUAUAACUAUAUAAAAAUACGUGAAACUAUACUAUUAUUUCCACUUAGAAAUACAAAGAAAUUCGUAAACCUACAUGCAUAUAUUUUUCUAAUAUAUUAACUAUUAUUAAUUAAAGAAGUAAAAUACAAUUCUUUACAUAAUGAAUAAUAUAAUUCUCCGUAAUAUAAAAUAACUAUUAUAAUCGUUAGUAAAAAUCGUACUGUAACAUACGUCUAUGAAUAUUAUCUGCGAUACUUUUUAAAUAAAAAUAAUAAUAUUCUUUAGUUUUUAAUUUUUAUAUAAUAUUAGUUAUAAUAAUAUUCGUUAUCAUACAUACAUACAUACAUACAUAUCUAUAUGUAAUAUAUAACAAAUAGCGUGAUAGGUGUUAACUCUAGUUACAACGUCUUUCAAAUCAAUAUUCAUUCUGAUAGAAUUCUACGAUUGUGCGUCGUUGAUCGUUCUCUUUCGAAAAUAUAUACAUACGUACCUACGCACAUAUAUGCUACAUGCAUAUAUAUAUAUAUAUAUACAUAUAUUUCAUCUAUACAUACAUGCAUACGUAUGUACGUCGCAUUACGGCUGGCCAACUCGAACUUUCGACGAUUGUUCCGAAAAGCUCGAAUUGUCAUUGUCAGAGGGAAAGCUUCGAUCUCUGCCGAAUUGAAAGUUCGAAACAAACUGACAAGGAACCCGAUCAACCAACUAACCAACCAGUCAACCAACCAACCGACCAACCAACCAACCAACCAACCAACCAACCAUUGGUUAGAUGAAAUCGCCGGAAGAUAUUUCACACACACAGACACGCACACGCUGCUACAAAAUGAAUUAUUUUUUAUUUAUUAUUUUCUUUUCGUUUCUUUCUAAAAAAGAAAAAGAAAGAAAAGAAAAGAAAAGAAAAAAAAAAGAAAAAGAGCAUUUGUUUGAAGUCUUAAGCGAAGUAAGAGAAUUGACGUAAUAAUGUCUGCUGUAGUAAGUACUUAUAUAUCGAUUGUUCGGUCCUGUAAUAGAAAAGAAUCAGUUAUCUAUUCGUGGAAUAAACAUUAUCGUGACCCACUGCGACGUUUUCAUUGUCUAUACGUGGAUUUUUCUUUUUC